AAUGGGGGAUAACGUAGCGAAAGUUACGCUAAUACCGCAUAUGCCCUGAGGGGGAAAGGUGGGGAUCGCAAGACCUAUCGUUUUCGGAGUGGCCGAUAUCAGAUUAGCUAGUUGGUGGGGUAAAGGCCUACCAAGGCGACGAUCUGUAGCGGGUCUGAGAGGAUGAUCCGCCACACUGGGACUGAGACACGGCCCAGACUCCUACGGGAGGCAGCAGUGGGGAAUUUUGGACAAUGGGGGCAACCCUGAUCCAGCCAUGCCGCGUGAGUGAAGAAGGCCUUCGGGUUGUAAAGCUCUUUCAGCCGGAAAGAAAUCGCGCAGGCUAAUAUCCUGUGUGGAUGACGGUACCGGAAGAAGAAGCACCGGCUAACUACGUGCCAGCAGCCGCGGUAAUACGUAGGGUGCGAGCGUUAAUCGGAAUUACUGGGCGUAAAGCGUGCGCAGGCGGUUUUGUAAGACAGGCGUGAAAUCCCCGGGCUUAACCUGGGAACUGCGUUUGUGACUGCAAGGCUAGAGUGUGGCAGAGGGGGGUAGAAUUCCG
This 541-nucleotide ribosomal RNA is filed under the name uncultured Gallionellaceae bacterium. RNAcentral describes it as "bacterial SSU rRNA". It matches the Rfam family "Bacterial small subunit ribosomal RNA", at positions 135 to 671 of the family's 1533-position model. Lineage: Bacteria; Pseudomonadati; Pseudomonadota; Betaproteobacteria; Nitrosomonadales; Gallionellaceae. The record is from RNAcentral.